GGUUAAGCGACUAAGCGUACACGGUGGAUGCCUUGGCAGUCAGAGGCGAUGAAGGACGUGCUAAUCUGCGAUAAGCGUCGGUAAGGUGAUAUGAACCGUUAUAACCGGCGAUUUCCGAAUGGGGAAACCCAGUGUGAUUCGUCACACUAUCAUUAACUGAAUCCAUAGGUUAAUGAGGCGAACCGGGGGAACUGAAACAUCUAAGUACCCCGAGGAAAAGAAAUCAACCGAGAUUCCCCCAGUAGCGGCGAGCGAACGGGGAGCAGCCCAGAGCCUGAAUCAGUGUGUGUGUUAGUGGAAGCGUCUGGAAAGGCGUGCGAUACAGGGUAACAGCCCCGUACACAAAAAUGCACAUACUGUGAGCUCGAUGAGUAGGGCGGGACACGUGGUAUCCUGUCUGAAUAUGGGGGGACCAUCCUCCAAGGCUAAAUACUCCUGACUGACCGAUAGUGAACCAGUACCGUGAGGGAAAGGCGAAAAGAACCCCGGCGAGGGGAGUGAAAAAGAACCUGAAACCGUGUACGUACAAGCAGUGGGAGC
This 540-nucleotide ribosomal RNA is filed under the name Escherichia coli. RNAcentral describes it as "partial 23S ribosomal RNA". It matches the Rfam family "Bacterial large subunit ribosomal RNA", at positions 1 to 580 of the family's 2925-position model. Lineage: Bacteria; Pseudomonadati; Pseudomonadota; Gammaproteobacteria; Enterobacterales; Enterobacteriaceae. The record is from RNAcentral. RNAcentral also lists the same sequence under 1 other name.